GACGAACGCUGGCGGCGUGCUUAACACAUGCAAGUCGAACGAUGAAGCGGUUCUUGCACCGUGGAUUAGUGGCGAACGGGUGAGUAAUACGUGAGUGACCUACCUUUGACUCUGGGAUAAGCCUGGGAAACUGGGUCUAAUACCGGAUACGACCAAUCUCUGCAUGGGUGGUUGGUGGAAAGCGUUAUGGAGUGGUUUUAGAUGGGCUCACGGCCUAUCAGCUUGUUGGUGAGGUAAUGGCGUACCAAGGCGACGACGGGUAGCCGGCCUGAGAGGGUGACCGGCCACACUGGGACUGAGACACGGCCCAGACUCCUACGGGAGGCAGCAGUGGGGAAUAUUGCACAAUGGGCGCAAGCCUGAUGCAGCGACGCCGCGUGAGGGAUGACGGCCUUCGGGUUGUAAACCUCUGUUAGCAUGGAAGAAGCGAAAGUGACGGUAGGUGCAGAGAAAGCGCCGGCUAACUACGUG
RNAcentral lists this ribosomal RNA (471 nucleotides) under uncultured bacterium. RNAcentral describes it as "partial 16S ribosomal RNA". It matches the Rfam family "Bacterial small subunit ribosomal RNA", at positions 28 to 507 of the family's 1533-position model. The record is from RNAcentral.